Molecule: ribosomal RNA, 1506 nt
Filed under: Lactiplantibacillus pentosus
Lineage: Bacteria; Bacillati; Bacillota; Bacilli; Lactobacillales; Lactobacillaceae
Description: bacterial SSU rRNA
Rfam family: Bacterial small subunit ribosomal RNA
Source: RNAcentral
GUUUGAUCCUGGCUCAGGACGAACGCUGGCGGCGUGCCUAAUACAUGCAAGUCGAACGAACUCUGGUAUUGAUUGGUGCUUGCAUCAUGAUUUACAUUUGAGUGAGUGGCGAACUGGUGAGUAACACGUGGGAAACCUGCCCAGAAGCGGGGGAUAACACCUGGAAACAGAUGCUAAUACCGCAUAACAACUUGGACCGCAUGGUCCGAGUUUGAAAGAUGGCUUCGGCUAUCACUUUUGGAUGGUCCCGCGGCGUAUUAGCUAGAUGGUGAGGUAACGGCUCACCAUGGCAAUGAUACGUAGCCGACCUGAGAGGGUAAUCGGCCACAUUGGGACUGAGACACGGCCCAAACUCCUACGGGAGGCAGCAGUAGGGAAUCUUUCACAAUGGACGAAAGUCUGAUGGAGCAACGCCGCGUGAGUGAAGAAGGGUUUCGGCUCGUAAAACUCUGUUGUUAAAGAAGAACAUAACUGAGAGUAACUGUUCAGGUAUUGACGGUAUUUAACCAGAAAGCCACGGCUAACUACGUGCCAGCAGCCGCGGUAAUACGUAGGUGGCAAGCGUUGUCCGGAUUUAUUGGGCGUAAAGCGAGCGCAGGCGGUUUUUUAAGUCUGAUGUGAAAGCCUUCGGCUCAACCGAAGAAGUGCAUCGGAAACUGGGAAACUUGAGUGCAGAAGAGGACAGUGGAACUCCAUGUGUAGCGGUGAAAUGCGUAGAUAUAUGGAAGAACACCAGUGGCGAAGGCGGCUGUCUGGUCUGUAACUGACGCUGAGGCUCGAAAGUAUGGGUAGCAAACAGGAUUAGAUACCCUGGUAGUCCAUACCGUAAACGAUGAAUGCUAAGUGUUGGAGGGUUUCCGCCCUUCAGUGCUGCAGCUAACGCAUUAAGCAUUCCGCCUGGGGAGUACGGCCGCAAGGCUGAAACUCAAAGGAAUUGACGGGGGCCCGCACAAGCGGUGGAGCAUGUGGUUUAAUUCGAAGCUACGCGAAGAACCUUACCAGGUCUUGACAUACUAUGCAAAUCUAAGAGAUUAGACGUUCCCUUCGGGGACAUGGAUACAGGUGGUGCAUGGUUGUCGUCAGCUCGUGUCGUGAGAUGUUGGGUUAAGUCCCGCAACGAGCGCAACCCUUAUUAUCAGUUGCCAGCAUUAAGUUGGGCACUCUGGUGAGACUGCCGGUGACAAACCGGAGGAAGGUGGGGAUGACGUCAAAUCAUCAUGCCCCUUUUGACCUGGGCUACACACGUGCUACAAUGGAUGGUACAACGAGUUGCGAACUCGCGAGAGUAAGCUAAUCUCUUAAAGCCAUUCUCAGUUCGGAUUGUAGGCUGCAACUCGCCUACAUGAAGUCGGAAUCGCUAGUAAUCGCGGAUCAGCAUGCCGCGGUGAAUACGUUCCCGGGCCUUGUACACACCGCCCGUCACACCAUGAGAGUUUGUAACACCCAAAGUCGGUGGGGUAACCUUUUAGGAACCAGCCGCCUAAGGUGGGACAGAUGAUUAGGGUG